AUCUCUUUCUUUUAUUCUAGCAAUCUUUUUCUCCAGCAAAAUAGAUUUAUUUAGGCUUUGUUAGGCUGACACAGGUUAUAUGUUUUGUUGACAGAGUAAAGGUCACCUGCUGCUUGUGUAUGUCUGCGCUGAGCAUUGCCRUGUAUCCAAGCACUCUGCUAUCUGGUUUUCGUCAGCCUAUGGGAAAAAUCAGAGAGCUUUUCAUCUAAUCCCUUUGGAUAUCUAUCUUACCAUAUGACGAAUUGCAUGACUGAAGUGCAAACUUCCUUCCU
This is a long non-coding RNA of Nothoprocta perdicaria, 272 nucleotides long. RefSeq lists it as uncharacterized. Lineage: Eukaryota; Metazoa; Chordata; Aves; Tinamiformes; Tinamidae. The transcript is spliced from 2 exons. The record is from RefSeq and is a predicted model, not a curated record.